This 76-nucleotide transfer RNA is filed under the name Candidatus Saccharimonadota bacterium. RNAcentral describes it as "tRNA-Thr". It matches the Rfam family "tRNA". From Rfam's summary of the family: Transfer RNA (tRNA) molecules are approximately 80 nucleotides in length. Their secondary structure includes four short double-helical elements and three loops (D, anti-codon, and T loops). Further hydrogen bonds mediate the characteristic L-shaped molecular structure. tRNAs have two regions of fundamental functional importance: the anti-codon, which is responsible for specific mRNA codon recognition, and the 3' end, to which the tRNAs corresponding amino acid is attached (by aminoacyl-tRNA synthetases). tRNAs cope with the degeneracy of the genetic code in two manners: having more than one tRNA (with a specific anti-codon) for a particular amino acid; and 'wobble' base-pairing, i.e. permitting non-standard base-pairing at the 3rd anti-codon position. The record is from RNAcentral. Lineage: Bacteria; Candidatus Saccharimonadota.
GCCGCGAUAGCUCAGUUGGUAGAGCGCAUCCAUGGUAAGGAUGAGGUCUCGGGUUCGACUCCCGAUCGCGGCUCCA